AAUCGAUUUUCCGGUUGAUCUGCCGGAGGUCCUGCUAUCGGGGUUCGAUUAAGCCAUGCGAGUUGAGAGGGUUUAGACCCUCGGCGGACUGCUCAGUAACACGUGGAUAACCUGCCCUAAGGUGGAGGAUAACCCCGGGAAACUGGGGAUAAUACUCCAUAGAUCAGAGUAACUGGAAUGUUUUCUGGUCGAAAGUUCCGGCGCCUUAGGAUGGAUCUGCGGCCGAUUAGGUAGUUGUUGGGGUAACGGCCCAACAAGCCAGUCAUCGGUACGGGUUGUGGGAGCAAGAGCCCGGAGAUGGAAUCUGAGACACGAUUCCAGGCCCUACGGGGCGCAGCAGGCGCGAAAACUUUACAAUGCAGGAAACUGUGAUAAGGGAACCCCGAGUGCUCGUACACGCGAGCUGUCCAGGUGUGUAAAAAGCAUCUGAAGAAAGGGCCGGGCAAGACCGGUGCCAGCCGCCGCGGUAAUACCGGCGGCUCGAGUGGUGGCCACUAUUAUUGGGCUUAAAGCGUUCGUAGCUGGACUCUUAAGUCUCCUGGGAAAUCCGCCGGCUCAACCGGCGGGCGUCCAGGAGAUACUGGGAGUCUUGGAACCGGAAGAGGUAAGAGUACUUCG
Molecule: ribosomal RNA, 618 nt
Filed under: uncultured archaeon
Lineage: Archaea
Description: bacterial SSU rRNA
Rfam family: Archaeal small subunit ribosomal RNA
Source: RNAcentral